CAAGAGCUCAGAUUUGAAAGGCACUUUUGUGCCGUUGUAUUCUGAAGUUAGGGUCCUGAGAAACGAUGCUUAAGUCUUCUGGAAAGGAGCGCCAUGGAGGGUGAUAGCCCCGUCUAGCAUUGACCUCAUAUAGGAUCUUAACAUGGAGUCGAGUUGUUUGGGAAUGCAGCUCAAAUGGGUGGUAUGCUCCAUCUAAAGCUAAAUAUCUGCGAGAGACCGAUAGUAAACAAGUACUGUGAGGGAAAGAUGAAAAGAACUUUGAAAAGAGAGUGAAAAAGUACGUGAAAUUGUUGAAAUGGAAGGGUAGGCCGCUAACCAUGUAGAGCCGUGUUUGGGGGGAAGAUAAAUGCUGUAGAAUGUAGCUCCUCGGAGUAUUAUAGAUGCAGUUCAUAUUCCCACCCGAGCGCGAGGAUCUCAGGUUCUACUAAAUGGUGGUCUACCACCCGU
This 447-nucleotide ribosomal RNA is filed under the name Starmerella bacillaris. Its description in RNAcentral is "eukaryotic LSU rRNA". It matches the Rfam family "Eukaryotic large subunit ribosomal RNA", at positions 102 to 652 of the family's 3401-position model. Lineage: Eukaryota; Fungi; Ascomycota; Dipodascomycetes; Dipodascales; Trichomonascaceae. The record is from RNAcentral.